GUAGGCAAGGAGACCUAUUAAAACUUAUUUCAGCCCAAUUCUGUCUGAUCUCGGAAGCUAAGCAGGGUCGGGCCUGGUUAGUACUUGGAUGGGAGACCAUGUAGGAAGACCAGGUACUGUAGACA
Molecule: ribosomal RNA, 125 nt
Organism: Pteropus vampyrus (large flying fox)
Lineage: Eukaryota; Metazoa; Chordata; Mammalia; Chiroptera; Pteropodidae
Source: Ensembl